Molecule: long non-coding RNA, 1585 nt
Filed under: Gossypium barbadense (sea-island cotton)
Lineage: Eukaryota; Viridiplantae; Streptophyta; Magnoliopsida; Malvales; Malvaceae
Description: long non-coding RNA (GBAR_LNC002464)
Source: RNAcentral
CCUGUCAUGGACUGCCAAGAAUUCAUUGAUGAAAUAUCACUCAUCUUUGUUUUUUGUUUCUUGAUUUCUUUCCAAGAAUAUUUGCUUAUUUUUUUCAAUAACUAGUUUCCGUAAUUGAUAUCCCAAUGAAGUUGCUUAUAGCCAUGCAACAAAACCAAGUGGCACUUAAUUAAUUUUGAUGCCUUGUGAUCCUUCUUGCAUAACUGAUCCUACAAUAAGCAUUAGUGUCAAAGUGUCAUUACAUUGUUGGCACAUGAAAUCGAAUACCAAAAAGCAGGAGCAGUCAAUUGUUUGUUACAUUGUGCAUGUAUGCUGGUGUGACUAUUUUGAGUUGUCAAAACAUAUAUCCUAAUCCUGUGAAGUGCUUUGUGUCUGUAGACCUCGUGUUGGAGCUCUAAAGGCAGAAGAAGCUUUCAAGUGUGUGGUUUUCCAAUUAUCAUCCCCGGUUAGUAUGAAUGAACACUGAUGGUGUUUCCUAUGUUUGAUAGAUUCUCUACUAUUUGUAAUUACUAAGUAAGCUGGUGUCUGAGAGUGGCUAUUUUAUAAAAGUGAUUGAAGUAAAUAAAGGAGGUCCACCUCCUAAAACCUACAUGUGAGAGUGCUUAAUGUAAAAUUAUAAGGCAUUAUCGUUUCCUACAAAAACAUAUCACAAUUAGUAUUGGGGUUCAAUUGCUUCAAUGUGUCCUAAAUUAUAGAUCUACCCUAAACCAUAAUUUAACAACAGACAAUCAGAAAACUACAAACAAAUAUGAACCACUCUGCUUUCUACUUAUUUAUAACAUUUUCUUCAUGAUGCACAACGAAUUAGCCCGUCCAAAAACAGUGGCGUGGGAAAUUCUGCAGGAAGAAUAGCCAGAAACAGAAAUUAUGUUCUUUUUUCUAAUUUUCUUCUGCACAUUUAUUCACCACACCCACAAAAGGAAACAAGCAGCAUCUUCCAAAAGUAAGAGAAAAUCAUGGCCUCAAGAAAAGCGUAAAAAUCCUCCAGUUGGCUAUAUAGAACGUACAUUUUUGCUAUUAUAAUAAUGCUGGUAAUGUUAGAAAUGAAGGAAAACACAGGGAAACAAGCAAAUGGCGGCUAAAAACAAGUCCUUGCGGAAAGAAAUUCAUAGAAGACGCCAACUAGAAACAGCCUCUCGUAUCUAUAGAUAUUCGGACUGCCUAAAAAGCAAUCUCGAGCUUCUACGUAGUAGGUGAAAUAUUUGCUUACAUAAUUCCGUCAUUGUUGUCGAAACAUUACAUUAAAAAAGAAAAUGUGGCUUACCUGAAAGAAAAGGAUUGAGCAGCUGAUUUGCUUCUUCUCUGUCUUAUUUCGUUGUCAGAUUGCGAUUAACUGGAACAUUAAAAACUUUAUGGAAGUCGGUGCGGAUAAUAUCAAAUCCAUUACUAAAAAAAUGGACUUAAGGGACAGAUUUCUAACUUUCUAUAUGAAUGGUAAAAUUAAACUUUUAAAAAUAAUUAAGUCAUUGAGUUUAGAUGCUGCAAAAUUCGGUCAAUAUGCUGAUUUUAAAGAAAAUUUAGAAAUUUAAACGAUUUUUCGAAAAUUAGGAAAUAGGCCGCUUUAAAAAAAUGGUUGAAGUGUUUU